This 403-nucleotide ribosomal RNA is filed under the name uncultured bacterium. RNAcentral's name for it is "partial 16S ribosomal RNA". It matches the Rfam family "Bacterial small subunit ribosomal RNA", at positions 28 to 526 of the family's 1533-position model. The record is from RNAcentral.
GACGAACGCUGGCGGCGUGCCUAAUACAUGCAAGUCGAACGCAGUGGGGACGGGUGAGUAACACGUGGGUAACCUCCCAUCAGAGGGGAUAACACUUGGAAACAGGUGCUAAACCCAUACUGAUGGAUGAACCCGCGGUGCAUUACCUAGUUGGUGGGGUAACGGCGCACCAAGGCCACGAUGCAUAGCGGACCUGAGAGGGUGAUCGGCCACACUGGGACUGAGACACGGCCCAGACUCCUACGGGAGGCAGCAGUAGGGAAUAUGCGGCAAUGGACGAAAGUCUGACGGAGCGACGCCGCGUGAGUGAAGAAGGUUUUCGGAUCGUAAAGCUCUGUUGUGAGGGAGGCGGUAUCUAACCAGAAAGCCACGGCUAACUACGUGCCAGCAGCCGCGGUAAUAC